CUUUUUCAGUUAUUCAAGGAACAUCUUAUAUGCUAAUUCAAUGUGACAAUAGCUUUAGCUUCAAGUACCCGAUGAAGCUUUGUCACUGCUCAUGGGAAUGGGUUACAAAGAAAAUGCAGCGAAAAGGGCCCUAAGAAUGACCGGUCAAGACGUUCAGCCAGCAGUUCAUUUCCUGGUUGAAGAGCAAGCUAGGAAAAUACUCAGGAAACAGGAGAACAUUCAGCGACAAGCGGAGAUUUUUUGGGAGUAUAGGAUUCCUCAGGUGCAGACAUCGAGGAAUUAGUAUCCUUGUGGUAUAACCGAUCAUCAGUUGUGGAUGCUGUGCGAAGGUCAUGUAACAAGGAUGAUG
This is a non-coding RNA of Musa acuminata subsp. malaccensis (wild Malaysian banana), 349 nucleotides long. NCBI's taxonomy places the organism in Eukaryota, Viridiplantae, Streptophyta, Magnoliopsida, Zingiberales, Musaceae. The record is from RefSeq and is a predicted model, not a curated record.